GAUGAACGCUGGCGGCGUGCCUAAUACAUGCAAGUCGAGCGAACAGACGAGGAGCUUGCUCCUCUGACGUUAGCGGCGGACGGGUGAGUAACACGUGGAUAACCUCCCUAUAAGACUGGGAUAAAUUCGGGAAACCGGAGCUAAUACCGGAUAAUAUAUUGAACCGCAUGGUUCAAUAGUGAAAGACGGUUUUGCUGUCACUUAUAGAUGGAUCCGCGCCGCAUUAGCUAGUUGGUAAGGUAACGGCUUACCAAGGCGACGAUGCGUAGCCGACCGGAGAGGGUGAUCGGCCACACUGGAACUGAGACACCGUCCAGACUCCUACGGGAGGCAGCAGUAGGGAAUCUUCCGCAAUGGGCGAAAGCCUGACGGAGCAACGCCGCGUGAGUGAUGAAGGUCUUCGGAUCGUAAAACUCUGUUAUUAGGGAAGAACAAAUGUGUAAGUAACUAUGCACGUCUUGACGGUACCUAAUCAGAAAGCCACGGCUAACUACGUG
Molecule: ribosomal RNA, 497 nt
Filed under: uncultured bacterium
Lineage: Bacteria
Description: partial 16S ribosomal RNA
Rfam family: Bacterial small subunit ribosomal RNA
Source: RNAcentral